Molecule: long non-coding RNA, 2368 nt
Filed under: Vigna radiata
Lineage: Eukaryota; Viridiplantae; Streptophyta; Magnoliopsida; Fabales; Fabaceae
Description: long non-coding RNA (VRAD_LNC005990)
Source: RNAcentral
GAGAUAAACUGAACUUACAAGUGACAGAUGAAUGUUACAGCAUGUAGCUAAGAAAGCAACAUGUUCUUGGCUUUUUCCUACAGAAGAAAAAUCAAAGCACAGAUACAUGUUAGAAAUUAUCUGAAAAAGGUGAAAAAGAACUUCCAUUUCGUUGAGGAUAAGCAUAAUUUUGAUUCAGAAGACACCAUGACAACCAAAAGCAAUCAACACCAUCACUAGUUACUGUCAUUUGAUGUCAUCCAGAUUUGCUGCUUAAAAUUUCAAAACCAUAUAUUAAUCAUUCAAAUUUAAUUCAACUUAACGAUUAAGGAUGCUUCGUUGAUUCAUCGUAAAUAAAACUGUUGAUUGAUGAAAAGAUGCAUAGUUCUCCAUAAUGUCCCUGUCUCUGCAUUAUUACUCAACAACUUUUGCACUCUCAGACAUAUCAUAUCACCAGAUAUACGAGCCAUGAUUUGCUACAAUACUAUUAUUUUCGACAUCAAAAUGUUAAGGAUAGCAUGAGUUGUUGUACUUGUAAUUAUACUUACAAUAUAUUUAUUAUACUUCUAAUUCUGAAGAAACAUAAUUCUUCAAGGCCAAAGGCAUAUGUAGCAAAGAGUCUAUUUUUCAUUCUCUUUAUAUUACUUUUUUUCUUAAUAAUACGUUAGUUGAAGCUAGCUGUGACCUGUCAAAUUAAGUAAUUUCCAUUUAGUUUGAAGAUGCUUGAUAUAACAUUGGAACUUGGAAGUUUCUAUCUGUUAAAACCAGACCAGAGUUUGUUUGAUCGUAGUUUUUUUUAUGACUUGAUGGAUUUUGGAAUGUAUUUCUUCCUUUUUGUCGUAGGCAUAACAUGUGCAAUCAUUAUUAUUCCUAACGAACAAACAAUUACAAGAGUUUAUUUAUCCUAAUCUUAAUUUCUAAAACCUCAAAUCAAGGAGUUUGUUGUCACCAGACAUCACCAACUCCACUUUGAUGUCCAAUUAAACCCAACUAAACCGUUUUUGGUGUCUAUUUAUUGCCAUCAUCAGUGUGCGUAAUAAUUAGGAACUCAAUAAAUAAACUACAGUCUAUAUUAGUAAAAUGUAGUCUUUAAUCAUGAUGCUAAGAAGAAUGAAAAGCUAAACCUAAAAAGAACAGUAAAGCAAAGCUGAUUUAAGGGUGUUAUUAAUUUCUAUUACCAAAAUUUCAAACAGGGUUUGAAUCACAAAUUGACUUCUUCUUACUCAUAAUAAUCACAUCCAAGUGGCUAUAACUUCACUUUCAAUCUUUGGCAUAGUUUCCAUUGUUGAAACGUGACAAAACACCUGUAGCCAUCCGAUAAGACUACCACACACAUUUCUUCAAACUCACCUUAACUUCAUUUACUCUCACUCGGUUCCUUCUUCCUUCAUCAACUCCAUUUUCUUUUUCAUCCAAACAUGUCCUCCACUUACGCAAACCCAGCAACAUCAUACAAUCUCAUCUUCUUCUCAAUAUUACUCCUUUCUUUUGCAACAACAACAAAAUCCGACAACCCACCCUGCCCGUAUCCCUGUUACCCACCACCCACCGGAGUCGUCACGCCCACAACCCCUUCAACUGGCGGUGGUUCCACCGUUACACCGGCACCACCUCAACCCGUGUUAUCAUACCCGCCACCUUCUGGCUCCUACCCUUUUUACCCAACACCGCCUUACGGCGGCGGUGGCGACAACAGCGGCGGCGGAGGUGGUGUUUUUGCCACCCCGCCACCCCCUGAGCCUAUUCUUCCCUACUUUCCGUUCUACUACAGGAAGCCACCCCACAAGCCAGAAGACAACUCAGCACCGACCAGUUCGAAGAAACGGAAGGAGAUGGUUUUCAUAACUAGUUUGUUGUCGUUGCUUCUUCUCUUUGUAUAACUCUUUUCAUCGAAAUCUUCAUGUACUCUAAAUUGUUAAUUUAAUGCUUCUUCUUUUUUCCCUGUUGUGUUUAGAAAUAUAAUGUUAAGUUACCCACGUUUUUUGUUUUGUUGCGUUUAAGAAAAUGUUACUUUAUCUGUUGUUUGCGGCUGAGGUUUUAUGAGCAUGAUGUAGUUCUUCAGGGGAAGGGGAAAAACAGAGGAGGAAUUUCGAAUUGGUAGAGCUUGAGACAGAGGAAAACAAAAGAAUAAAAAUUCCGAAAUUUUGCUUGGUGAUUAAAUUAUUCGAUUUAUCAAUUUAUUAACUAAACUGUUUUUUUUAAGCAGGAAAUAAAUUGGUUUAAAUUUUGACCAUUUUUGUCUGAAUUGAAUUGAACUGAAUGGCGUGAUUAUUAGGAUAGAGUCACCGCUAAAUAUUUAUGUCACCUGCUUUGGAUAUGUAGAGCUCUUAUUUUCUUCUUUCUUUCGUUCUCUUUUCUUUUCUUUUCUACUUUAGUUGUUUGUUCUUAA